AUUUAACACACAGCAGCUUCAUGGGAAAACAACUGUAUUUUAAAUGAAGAACAGGCCUCCUCAGUGAUAACUCUAAAAUUUCUCAACAAUGUACAGACACAGACUAAUCAUAAAAGAAGAUAAUGACGAUGCUGGGCAGUGUCUGGAGGUAUCCUUUUCUCCUGGCAUUCACUCUAGAUGCUGAAACUUGGGAGUGCAGCGCUCUAGCAGAGCUGGGGGAUGUUCUCUGAAGGGCUCUGGUGGUGCUUAUUUAUCAGCCAGUAUUGAGAUUUGUCAAUAUAUCAAAAACUAUUUAGUAGCCAUAUCAGACCUUAUCACCUGAAUGCAACCUUUGGCCCACAUUCUAAAGGUGGUGACACACAUAGAUAAGGAAUGAGAUGUUUCAAGACUUUUAAGUCAUGUUAUUUUAAUAAAUGAUUAUAUUUUUGAUAAAGUGAAUUCAGAUAUUACCAGCCCAAGUGCUUUAUUGAUUUAACAAGAUGAUUUCAAAUAAUGUGUUAAGUUACCCUGCUGUGUUAAUUUGAUAAAGCUAUUAUUUUUCAUUUUAUUUUUUCAAGUUUUCAUUCACUUUUCAAAAUCAUGGUAGCAUAUAAUCACAUGCAAUGCCAGUGAAGCCCCAUAUUAAGCUUCAUACUUCUGUCCAAAUGCAUUGUAGUUGCCUAAUUUCAAGGUUCUAAUUUGGAAAUCCGAUUUAUUUUGUUUUUCUAUACAUACCAAUUUUAAGCAUUGUCUUGCAAAGUAGACAUAGGUGGUGUUUGAUUUGCCAUAAUUAACUUGAAUUUGAUUUUGUAACUAAAAUGUGGCUAUCCACAUAAUUGGAAAUCAGUGUCUUUGGGCUUUUAAUGGAGAACAAAUCACAUUGUGGUCAUGCUGGUUUUUCUGUUUCACAUUUACUUUUGCUCUAGAAGUAUUUCCGUGAGUCUGAUGACUCCAUAAGUUAUGAUCCUCAGUGUUAAGUAACGUAGACCAUUGGCAUUACUUUAAUAUUCACUUAAGCUUCUGUAUCAUUUUUUUCUGUAUUUUUCCCUUAGGAAUUUAAUUCAGGUCUUCCUCAAAUUUUAUAGCUUUAAAAAAAUAAUUCCAACCUCAGAAUAACAUAAUAAAUUACAAGACAUGACCCUGGUUCCUAUUACCUUGAUUAAAGUGACGGCAAUUAAUUUACUGAUGUUUUGUCAGUGAAAUAAAUAAUAGCAUCUUAUGAAGUUUGUGUAUCUCUGUGAUGAAAAUGAGUCACGUCAGUUCCCUCUCUGAAGGGAAGUUAAAUGAACAACAUUUUUAAAAUUAUUUGAAUUCUAAAUAAAUAUGCUUUGAAAAGUGAGUUAGGGUUUUGUCUAAUUGCACUGAGGCGAGUUAGCUUCGGUGCCAUUUUUCUCUGUACCCUUUUUCCUCCAUGGAUUCAUUUCUAUCUGUUGCACUCUAGCAUAAAGGACCCAGCCAAGAAAUUGUAAAAUAGAUUCAACAACAAAAUAAACAGGUCUUGAGUUAAUUAUCAAUCUCUAUGUACUUGAUUAAUAUUUCCCAAGCCCAUCUUAAAGGUGUAAUAAAGUAGAAAAAUAAAAAUACAUUGUUAAAAUAGCCAGAAAUGUUUUUAUAAAUAAUCCUGCUAAAUAAAUCUGAGGCCCUUUGUUAAUUUACAAUUAUCAUGAUUCAUUUUAUUAAUAAACUUGUUUGAAUUGUACUACAAAUUUAACUGAAUUAUAUCAUCAAAAUAAAUCAAACAGGGUAAUAAAAAUAACAAUUAUAAGUGACUGAUGUCAGAAACUCAUAACAACUCAUCAUUUUCUUGUAGCCUCUGAUUCUGUACUUUCUUGUGUAUUAUUAAAGAGGUAAAUGCUCUCUUAAAAUGCCUCUAGUUCCUCAGAGGUAGGAAAAAUAAACUCAACCUGCUUUGGACUUGUGUAUUUACUUGGGUUGGUUUCCAGAAUCUCCUUAUUCCUGAAACAGUAUGAUCAUGUAGUUAAACUACUCCUUUAUAUCUAUAAGUACUGUGCAGCCAACAUGUUCUUUUUUGUCCCCAACUUCUGCCAUCUUUCCAACCUCUGAGGCAUGCUAUUUUAUAGUGGUUUGCUCUUUGAAAAAUUGUUUUUGUGCCCUCUCUUAAUAGUCACAGAUACUGACACAAAACUUAAAAAUGACCAGAAAACAAUGUAUAAAUUAUUUAAAAUAAAACAUUCUUUUUAUAUCACAUUA
Molecule: small RNA, 2190 nt
Filed under: Pongo abelii (Sumatran orangutan)
Lineage: Eukaryota; Metazoa; Chordata; Mammalia; Primates; Hominidae
Description: sense intronic
Source: RNAcentral